This 2775-nucleotide ribosomal RNA is filed under the name Escherichia coli. RNAcentral describes it as "bacterial LSU rRNA". It matches the Rfam family "Bacterial large subunit ribosomal RNA". RNAcentral also lists the same sequence under 1 other name. Lineage: Bacteria; Pseudomonadati; Pseudomonadota; Gammaproteobacteria; Enterobacterales; Enterobacteriaceae. The record is from RNAcentral.
AGCGUACACGGUGGAUGCCCUGGCAGUCAGAGGCGAUGAAGGACGUGCUAAUCUGCGAUAAGCGUCGGUAAGGUGAUAUGAACCGUUAUAACCGGCGAUUUCCGAAUGGGGAAACCCAGUGUGUUUCGACACACUAUCAUUAACUGAAUCCAUAGGUUAAUGAGGCGAACCGGGGGAACUGAAACAUCUAAGUACCCCGAGGAAAAGAAAUCAACCGAGAUUCCCCCAGUAGCGGCGAGCGAACGGGGAGCAGCCCAGAGCCUGAAUCAGUGUGUGUGUUAGUGGAAGCGUCUGGAAAGGCGCGCGAUACAGGGUGACAGCCCCGUACACAAAAAUGCACAUGCUGUGAGCUCGAUGAGUAGGGCGGGACACGUGGUAUCCUGUCUGAAUAUGGGGGGACCAUCCUCCAAGGCUAAAUACUCCUGACUGACCGAUAGUGAACCAGUACCGUGAGGGAAAGGCGAAAAGAACCCCGGCGAGGGGAGUGAAAAAGAACCUGAAACCGUGUACGUACAAGCAGUGGGAGCACGCUUAGGCGUGUGACUGCGUACCUUUUGUAUAAUGGGUCAGCGACUUAUAUUCUGUAGCAAGGUUAACCGAAUAGGGGAGCCGAAGGGAAACCGAGUCUUAACUGGGCGUUAAGUUGCAGGGUAUAGACCCGAAACCCGGUGAUCUAGCCAUGGGCAGGUUGAAGGUUGGGUAACACUAACUGGAGGACCGAACCGACUAAUGUUGAAAAAUUAGCGGAUGACUUGUGGCUGGGGGUGAAAGGCCAAUCAAACCGGGAGAUAGCUGGUUCUCCCCGAAAGCUAUUUAGGUAGCGCCUCGUGAAUUCAUCUCCGGGGGUAGAGCACUGUUUCGGCAAGGGGGUCAUCCCGACUUACCAACCCGAUGCAAACUGCGAAUACCGGAGAAUGUUAUCACGGGAGACACACGGCGGGUGCUAACGUCCGUCGUGAAGAGGGAAACAACCCAGACCGCCAGCUAAGGUCCCAAAGUCAUGGUUAAGUGGGAAACGAUGUGGGAAGGCCCAGACAGCCAGGAUGUUGGCUUAGAAGCAGCCAUCAUUUAAAGAAAGCGUAAUAGCUCACUGGUCGAGUCGGCCUGCGCGGAAGAUGUAACGGGGCUAAACCAUGCACCGAAGCUGCGGCAGCGACGCUGAUGCGUUGUUGGGUAGGGGAGCGUUCUGUAAGCCUGCGAAGGUGUGCUGUGAGGCAUGCUGGAGGUAUCAGAAGUGCGAAUGCUGACAUAAGUAACGAUAAAGCGGGUGAAAAGCCCGCUCGCCGGAAGACCAAGGGUUCCUGUCCAACGUUAAUCGGGGCAGGGUGAGUCGACCCCUAAGGCGAGGCCGAAAGGCGUAGUCGAUGGGAAACAGGUUAAUAUUCCUGUACUUGGUGUUACUGCGAAGGGGGGACGGAGAAGGCUAUGUUGGCCGGGCGACGGUUGUCCCGGUUUAAGCGUGUAGGCUGGUUUUCCAGGCAAAUCCGGAAAAUCAAGGCUGAGGCGUGAUGACGAGGCACUACGGUGCUGAAGCAACAAAUGCCCUGCUUCCAGGAAAAGCCUCUAAGCAUCAGGUAACAUCAAAUCGUACCCCAAACCGACACAGGUGGUCAGGUAGAGAAUACCAAGGCGCUUGAGAGAACUCGGGUGAAGGAACUAGGCAAAAUGGUGCCGUAACUUCGGGAGAAGGCACGCUGAUAUGUAGGUGAAGUCCCUCGCGGAUGGAGCUGAAAUCAGUCGAAGAUACCAGCUGGCUGCAACUGUUUAUUAAAAACACAGCACUGUGCAAACACGAAAGUGGACGUAUACGGUGUGACGCCUGCCCGGUGCCGGAAGGUUAAUUGAUGGGGUUAGCCGCAAGGCGAAGCUCUUGAUCGAAGCCCCGGUAAACGGCGGCCGUAACUAUAACGGUCCUAAGGUAGCGAAAUUCCUUGUCGGGUAAGUUCCGACCUGCACGAAUGGCGUAAUGAUGGCCAGGCUGUCUCCACCCGAGACUCAGUGAAAUUGAACUCGCUGUGAAGAUGCAGUGUACCCGCGGCAAGACGGAAAGACCCCGUGAACCUUUACUAUAGCUUGACACUGAACAUUGAGCCUUGAUGUGUAGGAUAGGUGGGAGGCUUAGAAGUGUGGACGCCAGUCUGCAUGGAGCCGACCUUGAAAUACCACCCUUUAAUGUUUGAUGUUCUAACGUUGACCCGUAAUCCGGGUUGCGGACAGUGUCUGGUGGGUAGUUUGACUGGGGCGGUCUCCUCCUAAAGAGUAACGGAGGAGCACGAAGGUUGGCUAAUCCUGGUCGGACAUCAGGAGGUUAGUGCAAUGGCAUAAGCCAGCUUGACUGCGAGCGUGACGGCGCGAGCAGGUGCGAAAGCAGGUCAUAGUGAUCCGGUGGUUCUGAAUGGAAGGGCCAUCGCUCAACGGAUAAAAGGUACUCCGGGGAUAACAGGCUGAUACCGCCCAAGAGUUCAUAUCGACGGCGGUGUUUGGCACCUCGAUGUCGGCUCAUCACAUCCUGGGGCUGAAGUAGGUCCCAAGGGUAUGGCUGUUCGCCAUUUAAAGUGGUACGCGAGCUGGGUUUAGAACGUCGUGAGACAGUUCGGUCCCUAUCUGCCGUGGGCGCUGGAGAACUGAGGGGGGCUGCUCCUAGUACGAGAGGACCGGAGUGGACGCAUCACUGGUGUUCGGGUUGUCAUGCCAAUGGCACUGCCCGGUAGCUAAAUGCGGAAGAGAUAAGUGCUGAAAGCAUCUAAGCACGAAACUUGCCCCGAGAUGAGUUCU